RNAcentral lists this ribosomal RNA (87 nucleotides) under Glaesserella parasuis. Lineage: Bacteria; Pseudomonadati; Pseudomonadota; Gammaproteobacteria; Pasteurellales; Pasteurellaceae. The record is from RNAcentral.
CUUGGCAACCAUAGUGCUGUGGUCCCACCUGACUCCAUACCGAACUCAGAAGUGAAACGCAGUUACGCCGAUGGUAGUGUGGGGAUU